This 499-nucleotide ribosomal RNA is filed under the name uncultured bacterium. Its description in RNAcentral is "partial 16S ribosomal RNA". It matches the Rfam family "Bacterial small subunit ribosomal RNA", at positions 28 to 507 of the family's 1533-position model. The record is from RNAcentral.
GACGAACGCUGGCGGCGUGCUUAACACAUGCAAGUCGAACGGGCCCGCUCUCUUUUUUGGGGGUGGGUUGAGUGGCGAACGGGUGAGUAUCACGUGAGUAACCUGCCCCCUGCUCCUGGAUAACUGCUUGAAAGGGCGGCUAAUACGGGGUGUGCCGGCUGGUCCGCAUGGGCCUGGUCGGGAUAGUUUCAUCUUCGGGUGUUUCGGUGGGGGAUGGGCUCGCGGCCUAUCAGCUUGUUGGUGGGGUGAUGGCCCACCAAGGCGGUGACGGGUAGCCGGCGUGAGAGGGUGGGCGGCCACACUGGGACUGAGACACGGCCCAGACUCCUGCGGGAGGCAGCGGUGGGGGGUAUUGCACAAUGGGCGGAAGCCUGAUGCAGCGACGGCGCGUGAGGGAUGGAGGCCUUCGGGUUGUGAACCUCUUUCUCCGGUGGUGAAGGCCCUGUCCGUUGCGGCGGGGUUGACGGUAGCCGGGGAUGAAGCGCCGGCUAACUACGUG